RNAcentral lists this ribosomal RNA (442 nucleotides) under uncultured bacterium. RNAcentral describes it as "partial 16S ribosomal RNA". It matches the Rfam family "Bacterial small subunit ribosomal RNA", at positions 338 to 795 of the family's 1533-position model. The record is from RNAcentral.
CCUACGGGUGGCAGCAGUAGGGAAUCUUUCACAAUGGGCGAAAGCCUGAUGGAGCAACGCCGCGUGCAGGAUGAAGGCCUUCGGGUUGUAAACUGCUUUUAUAAGCGAGAAAUAUGAUGGUAACUUAUGAAUAAGGAUUGGCUAAUUACGUGCCAGCAGCCGCGGUCAUACGUAGGAUCCGCGCAUUAUCCGGAGUGGCUGGGUGUAAAGAGUUGCGUAGGUGGCAUAGUAAGUAGCUAGUGAAAUCUGGUGGCUCAACCAUUCAGACUAUUAGCUAAACUGUUAAGCUCGAGACCGUUAGAGGUAACUGGAAUUUCUGGUGUAGGAGUGAAAUCCGUAGAUAUUAGGAGGAACACCAGUAGCGUAGGCAGGUUACUGGAACGGUUCUGACGCUAAGGCGCGAAAGCGUAGGGAGCAAACAGGAUUAGAUACCCCAGUAGUC